AUGGUGGUGCCGUCGGUGUUCGCGGCCUUCGACAAGGAUGGAGACGGCAAGGUGUCCGUGUCCGAACUGCGGCGCUGCAUGGAGGCGACGCUGGGCGAGGGUGUGUCCGAGGAGGAGGCAGCGGCGGUCCUCGCGGCGGUGGACGCCGACGGUGAUGGGUUGCUAAACCAAGAAGAGUUCUCGAGGCUGACAGCCCCCGGUGCCCAGGAAGAGGACGAUGCCGACGUGAAGCGAAGGUGCCUGAGGGAGGCGUUCGGGAUGUACGCGUCGUCGUCCACGGAAGACACGAUUACGCCGGCGAGCCUGAGGCGGACGCUGAGCAGGCUGGGGUCACACGAGCUGGGCGUGGAGGAGUGCCAGGCAAUGAUCUGCAGAUUCGACCUCGACGGUGACGGCAAACUCUCCUUCGAUGAGUUCCGGGUCAUGAUGAUGGCCUGA
RNAcentral lists this ribosomal RNA (438 nucleotides) under Triticum aestivum (bread wheat). RNAcentral describes it as "partial small subunit ribosomal RNA". Lineage: Eukaryota; Viridiplantae; Streptophyta; Magnoliopsida; Poales; Poaceae. The record is from RNAcentral.